GACGAACGCUGGCGGCGUGCCUAAUACAUGCAAGUUGAGCGCUGAAGGUUGGUACUUGUACCGACUGGAUGAGCAGCGAACGGGUGAGUAACGCGUGGGGAAUCUGCCUUUGAGCGGGGGACAACAUUUGGAAACGAAUGCUAAUACCGCAUAAAAACUUUAAACACAAGUUUUAAGUUUGAAAGAUGCAAUUGCAUCACUCAAAGAUGAUCCCGCGUUGUAUUAGCUAGUUGGUGAGGUAAAGGCUCACCAAGGCGAUGAUACAUAGCCGACCUGAGAGGGUGAUCGGCCACAUUGGGACUGAGACACGGCCCAAACUCCUACGGGAGGCAGCAGUAGGGAAUCUUCGGCAAUGGACGAAAGUCUGACCGAGCAACGCCGCGUGAGGGAAGAAGGUUUUCGGUUCGUAAAACUCUGUUGGUAGAGAAGAACGUUGGUGAGAGUGGAAAGCUCAUCAAGUGACGGUAACUACCCAGAAAGGGACGGCUAACUACGUG
This 497-nucleotide ribosomal RNA is filed under the name uncultured bacterium. RNAcentral describes it as "partial 16S ribosomal RNA". It matches the Rfam family "Bacterial small subunit ribosomal RNA", at positions 28 to 507 of the family's 1533-position model. The record is from RNAcentral.